Molecule: ribosomal RNA, 424 nt
Filed under: uncultured bacterium
Lineage: Bacteria
Description: bacterial SSU rRNA
Rfam family: Bacterial small subunit ribosomal RNA
Source: RNAcentral
UGGGGAAUAUUGGACAAUGGGCGCAAGCCUGAUCCAGCAAUGCCGCGUGGGUGAAGAAGGUCUUCGGAUUGUAAAGCCCUUUCGACGGGGACGAUGAUGACGGUACCCGUAGAAGAAGCCCCGGCUAACUUCGUGCCAGCAGCCGCGGUAAUACGAAGGGGGCUAGCGUUGCUCGGAAUGACUGGGCGUAAAGGGCGCGUAGGCGGAUGACACAGUCAGAUGUGAAAUUCCCGGGCUCAACCUGGGGGCUGCAUUUGAUACAUGUUGUCUUGAGUUCGGAAGAGGGUCGUGGAAUUCCCAGUGUAGAGGUGAAAUUCGUAGAUAUUGGGAAGAACACCGGUGGCGAAGGCGGCGACCUGGUCCGAUACUGACGCUGAGGCGCGAAAGCGUGGGGAGCAAACAGGAUUAGAUACCCGCGUAGUCC